UACGUAGGGGGCUAGCGUUGUCCGGAUUUAUUGGGCGUAAAGAGCGUGUAGGCGGCUAGGUAGGUCCGUUGUGAAAACUCGAGGCUCAACCUCGAGACGCCGGUGGAAACCAUCUAGCUAGAGUCCGGAAGAGGAGAGUGGAAUUCCUGGUGUAGCGGUGAAAUGCGCAGAUAUCAGGAAGAACACCCGUGGCGAAGGCGGCUCUCUGGUACGUGACUGACGCUGAGACGCGAAAGCGUGGGGAGCGAACAGG
Molecule: ribosomal RNA, 253 nt
Filed under: uncultured bacterium
Lineage: Bacteria
Description: partial 16S ribosomal RNA
Rfam family: Bacterial small subunit ribosomal RNA
Source: RNAcentral